GACGAACGCUGGCGGCGUGCUUAACACAUGCAAGUCGAACGGAAAGGCCCAGCUUGCUGGGUGCUCGAGUGGCGAACGGGUGAGUAACACGUGGGUGAUCUGCCCCUAACUUCGGGAUAAGCUUGGGAAACUGGGUCUAAUACCGGAUAGGACAAUCGUUUAGUGUCGGUUGUGGAAAGUUUUUUCGGUUAGGGAUGAGCCCGCGGCCUAUCAGCUUGUUGGUGGGGUAAUGGCCUACCAAGGCGUCGACGGGUAGCCGGCCUGAGAGGGUGGACGGCCACAUUGGGACUGAGAUACGGCCCAGACUCCUACGGGAGGCAGCAGUGGGGAAUAUUGCACAAUGGGCGCAAGCCUGAUGCAGCGACGCCGCGUGGGGGAUGACGGCCUUCGGGUUGUAAACCUCUUUCGACAGGGACGAAGCUUUGGUGACGGUACCUGUAUAAGAAGCGCAGGCUAACUACGUG
RNAcentral lists this ribosomal RNA (464 nucleotides) under uncultured bacterium. Its description in RNAcentral is "partial 16S ribosomal RNA". It matches the Rfam family "Bacterial small subunit ribosomal RNA", at positions 28 to 507 of the family's 1533-position model. The record is from RNAcentral.